UACGGAGGGUGCAAGCGUUAAUCGGAAUUACUGGGCGUAAAGCGCACGCAGGUGGUUCGUUAAGUUGGAUGUGAAAUCCCCGGGCUCAACCUGGGAACUGCAUUCAAAACUGUCGAGCUAGAGUAUGGUAGAGGGUGGUGGAAUUUCCUGUGUAGCGGUGAAAUGCGUAGAUAUAGGAAGGAACACCAGUGGCGAAGGCGACCACCUGGACUGAUACUGACACUGAGGUGCGAAAGCGUGGGGAGCAAACAGG
Molecule: ribosomal RNA, 253 nt
Filed under: uncultured bacterium
Lineage: Bacteria
Description: partial 16S ribosomal RNA
Rfam family: Bacterial small subunit ribosomal RNA
Source: RNAcentral